Molecule: long non-coding RNA, 1510 nt
Filed under: Zonotrichia albicollis (white-throated sparrow)
Lineage: Eukaryota; Metazoa; Chordata; Aves; Passeriformes; Passerellidae
Description: lncRNA (ENSZALG00000003637.1)
Source: RNAcentral
CCAGCGUCCGGCCAGCCUGGAUCUCCCCGGUGCCAUGGCCCCUGGGGGUGAAUCCCUGCACAGCUCUGGCCUCCUGCACCGUGAGCUGCCCCAGAUCCCCGUCCCUGAGCCCCCGGCCACCUCCCCAGCCCCCGACCAGACCUACUCCAACCUGCUCUUCACCCCUCUGCGCAAACCGGCGCCAGACGCUGUCUAUGAGUGCCUGGCAGUGGGGGACGAGGGCACCCCGGUGCCCCCCAGUGUCACCCCGGUGCCCCCCAUGCCAGCUGGCACCCAGCUGUCCCCUCCACGGGCUGGGCACGGCGCAGCUGAUUACGCCUGUGUCCAUAAAGUGAAGAAGGUGGUGUCGGUGGAGGUGCAGGAUGGGGCUGUGGCAGGACCCUCUGGAGCACAGCACGGCUGGGAUGGCACAGGCAGUGCCCCUCAUGCCAAGCUGGAGGAGAUGUAUUCAACAGUGUGCAAAGCCACCAAGAAGAAAUCCCAGGUCCCUGCAUCAACCCCAAGGGCUGUGAAGGACGGGGGGUCUGGAGAGCCAACCCCCUGCCAGCAGGAGGGGGCCCCAGCAGCCCCAGGCCCCCCUGACCCCUGUUAUGAGUCCAUCAAUGACAGAGCAUGGACUGUCCAGGCCCGUGGCCCCGAGCCUGACUACGAGGCUGUGGACAUUCACUGGAAGAAGGCAGCAAAAGGGGCCAAGCCAGGGAAGGGCUGUGUGCCUGAGAACCUCUACGAGAGUGUGGUGGAUGUCUGGGCAGGGGGGUCCCAGAAAGGCUCUGCCCGCACAGCAGCCAAUGGGCUGCAGGUUUACAUCACCAACCUAUAGCCCCCAGGAGCAGGGGCAGUGCCACAGGGGAGCCCACCUGGCUGGGCACCACUGGGUGCCAAAGGGACAGGUGCCAGCACCCCUGUGCCCACCCUGUGCCCUGCACUCACUCUCUGUACAUAUUUUCUGUUAUUUUUCUAUGAGUGUCUUUGUCCCAUUCCAGCCCAGCUGGUGCCAGCAGUGGUGGGAUGUCCCAGCAUGGGCAGUUUGGGGGUGUUGGGUGGGACCCCAGUGAGAGAGGGCUGGCACUGGCACCAAGAUGGGAACAGGGUGGGGACCAGUCACAUUUUGGGGCAGGGGGGUGACGGAGCUGCAGCCAGCCCCCUGCCUUGGGCUGCAGGAUCAGAUCCCCAUCAGGAGGUUUCUGCCAUGCCUGAGGGUCUCUGUGCUCCUCACACUGCCUGGGGGAGAGCAGGGCCUCCUCCAGCCCCCAGGAAACCCUGAGAAGCUUUGCCCCAAAUCACAGAAUAUCCCUUGUUAUGGGGAGAUGGGGUCAGCCCUGUGCCUCCAUGGAAUCAUAGAAUAUCCAUAGUUGGAAAGGACCCACACGGGAUCAUUGAGUCCAUCUUCUCACCCUGCACAGGACUACACAGAAAUGUCACUGGUGUGGGCUGUGGGCUCUGCUCCAUCCUCCAUCCCCACCCUCUCAGACCCGUGCAAGGGUGUAUCCAUGGGUCACCAUUAAAAGGC